This 468-nucleotide ribosomal RNA is filed under the name uncultured bacterium. RNAcentral's name for it is "partial 16S ribosomal RNA". It matches the Rfam family "Bacterial small subunit ribosomal RNA", at positions 28 to 507 of the family's 1533-position model. The record is from RNAcentral.
GACGAACGCUGGCGGCGUGCUUAACACAUGCAAGUCGAACGGAAAGGCCCUGCUUUUGUGGGGUGCUCGAGUGGCGAACGGGUGAGUAACACGUGAGUAACCUGCCCUUGACUUUGGGAUAACUUCAGGAAACUGGGGCUAAUACCGGAUAGGAGCUCCUGCUGCAUGGUGGGGGUUGGAAAGUUUCGGCGGUUGGGGAUGGACUCGCGGCUUAUCAGCUUGUUGGUGGGGUAGUGGCUUACCAAGGCUUUGACGGGUAGCCGGCCUGAGAGGGUGACCGGCCACAUUGGGACUGAGAGACGGCCAAGACUCCUACGGGAGGCAGCAGUGGGGAAUAUUGCACAAUGGGCGGAAGCCUGAUGCAGCAACGCCGCGUGCGGGAUGACGGCCUUCGGGUUGUAAACCGCUUUCGCCUGUGACGAAGCGUGAGUGACGGUAAUGGGUAAAGAAGCACCGGCUAACUACGUG